RNAcentral lists this ribosomal RNA (921 nucleotides) under uncultured bacterium. RNAcentral describes it as "bacterial SSU rRNA". It matches the Rfam family "Bacterial small subunit ribosomal RNA", at positions 33 to 947 of the family's 1533-position model. The record is from RNAcentral.
ACGCUAGCUACAGGCUUAACACAUGCAAGUCGAGGGGCAGCAUGGAAGAAGCUUGCUUCUUCUGAUGGCGACCGGCGCACGGGUGCGUAACGCGUAUCAAACCUGCCUCAUACUCGGGGAUAGCCUUGCGAAAGUAAGAUUAAUACCCGAUGUUGUUAUGUUGCCGCAUGGUGAUAUAACCAAAGAUUUAUCGGUAUGAGAUGGUGAUGCGUCCGAUUAGGUAGUAGGCGGGGUAACGGCCCACCUAGCCUUCGAUCGGUAGGGGUUCUGAGAGGAAGGUCCCCCACACUGGAACUGAGACACGGUCCAGACUCCUACGGGAGGCAGCAGUGAGGAAUAUUGGUCAAUGGACGGAAGUCUGAACCAGCCAAGUAGCGUGCAGGAUGACGGCCCUCCGGGUUGUAAACUGCUUUUAGUUGGGAAUAAAAAAGAGGACGUGUCCUCUAUUGUAUGUACCUUCAGAAAAAGGACCGGCUAAUUCCGUGCCAGCAGCCGCGGUAAUACGGAAGGUCCAGGCGUUAUCCGGAUUUAUUGGGUUUAAAGGGAGCGUAGGCGGAUUAUUAAGUCAGUGGUGAAAGACGGUGGCUCAACCAUCGUUAGCCAUUGAAACUGGUAGUCUUGAGUGCAGACAGGGAUGCUGGAACUCGUGGUGUAGCGGUGAAAUGCUUAGAUAUCACGAUGAACUCCGAUCGCGAAGGCAGGUGUCCGGGCUGCAACUGACGCUGAGGCUCGAAAGUGUGGGUAUCAAACAGGAUUAGAUACCCUGGUAGUCCACACAGUAAACGAUGUAUACUCGCGGUUUGCGAUACAAUGUAAGCCGCCAAGCGAAAGCAUUAAGUAUACCACCUGGGGAGUACGCCGGCAACGGUGAAACUCAAAGGAAUUGACGGGGGCCCGCACAAGCGGAGGAACAUGUGGUUU